RNAcentral lists this small RNA (131 nucleotides) under Salmonella enterica. RNAcentral describes it as "RtT sRNA". It matches the Rfam family "RtT RNA". From Rfam's summary of the family: This family represents a bacterial cis-regulatory element known as RtT RNA. Lineage: Bacteria; Pseudomonadati; Pseudomonadota; Gammaproteobacteria; Enterobacterales; Enterobacteriaceae. The record is from RNAcentral.
UAUCUCUCCGUACGGGGAAGGAUGAGAAGCUUCGACUAAGGUUCGAUUCGAGCGCAGCGAGAAAGCGUUGCCGCAGGCAACGACCCGAAGGGUGAGGAGCGGAGCGACGAAUAAUCCCUCCCCCACCACCA